Molecule: ribosomal RNA, 824 nt
Filed under: Oculimacula yallundae
Lineage: Eukaryota; Fungi; Ascomycota; Leotiomycetes; Helotiales; Ploettnerulaceae
Description: partial large subunit ribosomal RNA
Rfam family: Eukaryotic large subunit ribosomal RNA
Source: RNAcentral
UACCUCAGUAACGGCGAGUGAAGCGGUAACAGCUCAAAUUUGAAAGCUAGCUCUUUUAGGGUUCGCAUUGUAAUUUGUAGAAGAUGCUUCGGGUGUGGCCCCGGUCUAAGUUCCUUGGAACAGGACGUCAUAGAGGGUGAGAAUCCCGUAUGUGACUGGGUGCUUUCGCUCAUGUGAAGCUCUUUCGACGAGUCGAGUUGUUUGGGAAUGCAGCUCAAAAUGGGUGGUAAAUUUCAUCUAAAGCUAAAUAUUGGCCAGAGACCGAUAGCGCACAAGUAGAGUGAUCGAAAGAUGAAAAGCACUUUGGAAAGAGAGUUAAACAGUACGUGAAAUUGUUGAAAGGGAAGCGCUUGCAACCAGACUUGCGCGCUGAUGAUCAUCCGGGCUUCUGUCCGGUGCACUCGUCUGCGCUCAGGCCAGCAUCGGUUUCGGUGGUGGGAUAAAGGCCUUGGGAAUGUAGCUCCUCUCGGGGAGUGUUAUAGCCCUCGGUGCAAUGCCGCCUAUCGGGACCGAGGACCGCGCUUCGGCUAGGAUGCUGGCGUAAUGGUUGUAAGCGACCCGUCUUGAAACACGGACCAAGGAGUCUAACAUCUAUGCGAGUGUUUGGGUGUCAAACCCAUACGCGUAAUGAAAGUGAACGGAGGUGAGAACCCUUAAGGGUGCAUCAUCGACCGGUCCUGAUGUCUUCGGAUGGAUCUGAGUAAGAGCAUAGCUGUUGGGACCCGAAAGAUGGUGAACUAUGCGUGAAUAGGGUGAAGCCAGAGGAAACUCUGGUGGAGGCUCGCAGCGGUUCUGACGUGCAAAUCGAUCGUCAAAUUUGCGUA